AACUCUAACAUGUGUGCGAGUGUUCUUGAAGGGAACGAUUGAAGUCAGUCGUACCGUGCGGAUAAUCAGCUUUUUGAGUGUGAUUAUGUGGUUUAUGAGGAGUUUAACCGCCUUCAUGUAUUGCAUAUUUGUG
This 133-nucleotide ribosomal RNA is filed under the name Rhizophagus fasciculatus. Lineage: Eukaryota; Fungi; Glomeromycota; Glomeromycetes; Glomerales; Glomeraceae. The record is from RNAcentral.